AUCACCUUUAAGAACAGUCCAGAGAGGCUGAAAAGGGAUAUUCGCAAAGCCGGAAGUGUGUCUUCUGGAAGGUUUUUUUCUGCGCUUAUGCACCCUUCGCCUCUUCGGCGGAGGGUUUUUUUCAU
Regulatory RNA element from Planococcus rifietoensis, 125 nucleotides. It matches the Rfam family "PyrR binding site". From Rfam's summary of the family: This family represents the PyrR binding site and terminator structure. Lineage: Bacteria; Bacillati; Bacillota; Bacilli; Caryophanales; Caryophanaceae. The record is from Rfam.